UCACGAAAGUGGAUUGUACUAGAAGUCUGCGCGCUAACCCGCAAGGGAGGCAGCGGCCCAAGGUAUGAUUCAUGAUUGGGUG
RNAcentral lists this ribosomal RNA (82 nucleotides) under uncultured bacterium. RNAcentral's name for it is "partial 16S ribosomal RNA". The record is from RNAcentral.